UACGGAGGGCGCAAGCGUUGUUCGGAAUCAUUGGGCGUAAAGCGCGUGUAGGCGGUUUGGUAAGUCGGGUGUGAAAUCCCGGGGCUCAACCCCGGAACUGCAUUCGAAACUGCCUGGCUAGAGUCCCGGAGGGGAGGGCGGAAUUCCCGGUGUAGAGGUGAAAUUCGUAGAUAUCGGGAGGAUCAACAGCGGCGAAGGCGUCCCUCUGGACGGUAACUUAAGCUGGGACGCGAAAUCAUGGGGAGCAAACAGG
This 253-nucleotide ribosomal RNA is filed under the name uncultured bacterium. RNAcentral describes it as "partial 16S ribosomal RNA". It matches the Rfam family "Bacterial small subunit ribosomal RNA", at positions 524 to 776 of the family's 1533-position model. The record is from RNAcentral.